This 492-nucleotide ribosomal RNA is filed under the name uncultured bacterium. RNAcentral describes it as "partial 16S ribosomal RNA". It matches the Rfam family "Bacterial small subunit ribosomal RNA", at positions 29 to 507 of the family's 1533-position model. The record is from RNAcentral.
AGUGAACGCUGGCGGUAGGCCUAACACAUGCAAGUCGAACGGCAGCACAGUAAGAGCUUGCUCUGACGGGUGGCGAGUGGCGGGCGGGUGAGGAAUACAUCGGAAUCUACUUUUUCGUGGGGGAUAACGUAGGGAAACUUACGCUAAUACCGCAUACGACCUACGGGUGAAAGCAGGGGAUCGUCGGACCUUGCGCGAUUGAAUGAGCCGAUGUCGAAUUAGCUAGUUGGCGGGGUAAAGGCCCACCAAGGCGACGAUCGGUAGCCGGUCUGAGAGGAUGAUCAGCGACACUGGAACGUGGACACGGUCCUGACUCCUGCGGGAGGCAGCAGUCGGGAACAUUGGACAAUGGGCGCAAGCCUUACCCAGCCGGACCGCGUGGGUGAAGGAGGCCUUCGGGUUGUAAAGCCCUUUUGUUGGGAAAGAAAAGCAGCAGGUUAAGACCCCGCUGUUCUGACGGUACCCAAAGAAUAAGCACCGGCUAACUUCGUG